RNAcentral lists this long non-coding RNA (329 nucleotides) under Androctonus crassicauda. The record is from RNAcentral. Lineage: Eukaryota; Metazoa; Arthropoda; Arachnida; Scorpiones; Buthidae.
GGUAAAUAAAAAAAAAAUUAUUAUUUUUAUUACCUUUUCUAUUUAAAUUGGUGGCGAUUUAAUCUUUUAUAAUAAUUAAAAUUCUAUAAAUUAUGUUUGUGUGCCAAAAUAUGAAGAAUGGUAUCGAAAUCAAUUAAAUAUACUUCUAAGAUAGCCCUUGCAAUUCUGUAUGGCGAGUCAGAUCUCUUAUGUGACGUCACAAACCACUGUCGCUGGCCCGAUAAGAAGCCUGUUCCAGAUGACCCUGCCAGACCCGGACCCCUUGGUAAAUAUUUUCAAGGGGUGGGACCCGAGACUCGAAUCCGGCCUCCAGAGCGGAAAGCCGAAUC